Molecule: long non-coding RNA, 1020 nt
Filed under: Olea europaea subsp. europaea
Lineage: Eukaryota; Viridiplantae; Streptophyta; Magnoliopsida; Lamiales; Oleaceae
Source: RNAcentral
AUUGCCGCUAGGGUUUGGCUGGAUAUAUCCACUGCUCGAGCGCUAGACACGUGUUCAACAAAUGGUGGAGUAUCUGAAAAAGAUGCUCGAGCGCUCCAUUUGUGUACAAUGAGCAUUUUUGCAGCUAUUUUUCUUUUUGUUUCAUUUUUGUCUUCUUCAACACAUAACCCAACCUCUGACUCUUUGACUCAGAUUACAACUCAAUAAAACAUACUGCUGGACUGAAAUAGCAAAUACAAGUUGGACCUAAGAAAGAGGUAUCUUUAAAUCGUCGUGUAUUUACCCACAUACUGCUCUUCGUCAUUGAUUCUAAGCUUUUGGAAUCCGCACAGCUUCCACAUUAUCUGCUUCUGCUCCUUCAUUUUCAUUUGUUGUCGCUUCUAGAUUUUCAAUGAAGCAGGAUUCGGUUCUUUUUCUUCUUUCUUGAGUGUCGGUUUUCGAUUAUGAAGCUUCUCAUCGUUGCUUCGAUCAUCUGCACUAGGGUGGAGUCACAAUGUUGACUGGCAAUCACUAGUCAGUCUUAGUACUCAGAUCAAAACCCCUCUCCCUAUGCUCGAACGCUUAGAACCCAAGUUUUCUAAUUGAAUUAUUAUUUGUUAAUGAUUGAACCUUUAUCUGUUUUCUUUUGUAUAUCCGAGUUGGUUUGAGUUUUAUUUUUUUAUUUUUCCUUUUAGCGUAAAUGUAGAUUUAUUGUUUGUCUAAUCGGUUUUUUGUUUCAUGUGAGACUGCUACGUACUUGACAGUGCUUAUUGAUUGUUGUGAAAUUUUGAUUUAUUCUUCUUUUGUUCAUCUGUUAACGUUUUAAAAUCAUAGUUCAACCAGAGGUUUUCAAUUGAAUAUUUUGGUGAACGAAUUCUUGACUUCAAUUCAAUUGACCAAUGAUGGUGGUGCUUGUGCUAGCCUUCAAGAGCAGAUUAGCAUUGCUUGUCAACCUCCACACACUCGUACAUAUCUGAUAUGUUGGAUUUCCAUUAUCGAGCUGACGAGAAGUGAUGCAAAUUAGUUAUCCAAAGCUUGUAC